AUUGAACGCUGGCGGCAGGCCUAACACAUGCAAGUCGAGCGGAUGAAGGGAGCUUGCUCCUGGAUUCAGCGGCGGACGGGUGAGUAAUGCCUAGGAAUCUGCCUGGUAGUGGGGGAUAACGUCCGGAAACGGGCGCUAAUACCGCAUACGUCCUGAGGGAGAAAGUGGGGGAUCUUCGGACCUCACGCUAUCAGAUGAGCCUAGGUCGGAUUAGCUAGUUGGUGGGGUAAAGGCCUACCAAGGCGACGAUCCGUAACUGGUCUGAGAGGAUGAUCAGUCACACUGGAACUGAGACCCGGUCCAGACUCCUACGGGAGGCAGCAGUGGGGAAUAUUGGACAAUGGGCGAAAGCCUGAUCCAGCCAUGCCGCGUGUGUGAAGAAGGUCUUCGGAUUGUAAAGCACUUUAAGUUGGGAGGAAGGGCAGUAAGUUAAUACCUUGCUGUUUUGACGUUACCAACAGAAUAAGCACCGGCUAACUUCGUG
This 484-nucleotide ribosomal RNA is filed under the name uncultured bacterium. Its description in RNAcentral is "partial 16S ribosomal RNA". It matches the Rfam family "Bacterial small subunit ribosomal RNA", at positions 30 to 507 of the family's 1533-position model. The record is from RNAcentral.